Molecule: ribosomal RNA, 121 nt
Filed under: Pteropus alecto (black flying fox)
Lineage: Eukaryota; Metazoa; Chordata; Mammalia; Chiroptera; Pteropodidae
Source: RNAcentral
AUGAACAAGCCCGAUCGGGCCUGAACAAGCCCGAUCCCAUCUGAUCUCAGAAGUUAAGAAAGGUCGGGCCUGGUUAGUACUUGGAUAGGAGACCACCUAGGAAGACCAGGUGCUGUAAGCU